This is a long non-coding RNA of Sinocyclocheilus anshuiensis, 1080 nucleotides long. RefSeq lists it as uncharacterized. The transcript has 2 exons. The record is from RefSeq and is a predicted model, not a curated record. Lineage: Eukaryota; Metazoa; Chordata; Actinopteri; Cypriniformes; Cyprinidae.
UCCCGCUCCAUCAUUCAACCCCCAGCCACACACUAAAACACAUGGCACAUUCCUCUCUCAGGCACAAGCCCUCCUGAGGCAGUCUCUCUCUCCCGCAGCUUCAGUCUGUUUACUCUGAGAGGUUAUCUGCUGUAAACAGAGUCAUUAUGAUCUUCAUGGGCACAGCAGAAUAACCGGUCGAAGUAGUCAUCAGUAGAGAAAAACGAGCUUCUUGCUCAACGUCGGAGAUCAUUUUAGGUUCUAACCAGCACACAGCAUUCAGAUGCUCCUCUGCAUUUCCUCCUUUUUGCUGUUUGAUUUAUCUGCUUGCACUCAGUGGCUUAAAGCAUUUGUAAAAGCUCUGUCUUUUUGAAGACUAAGCACUGACAGACUGAGCCCAGAGACUGACUGACUCAGAGAAGACGUGUUUAAUCUUUCACGUCAUUUGCGCAAACUGUUUUUAAAUCUAAUUCUGCUGUUGGCUCAAGCAUUUAUUGCAAAAAAGCAACAAAAAAAAAGGAAAAGCUGGAUUUGUUUCAAGAUUGUAGAAUGUAUAUAGUGGGGAUCCCUGGCUCGUUCUUUGGAUGCAUGUCCCUUUGGGUAACGGAGGAAGCAUAAGGCAUUAAUAUAGUGAUUAACUGUGGAAAAAGUUCUGCACUGCACUAACAAAAGAGCACACUGACGUUCUGCACUGACUGUUUUGAGUUUUACUGCCACUGCUGCACUCAGUCCUACUUUCAAUUUAAUGUUCAUGUUAUUGUAAAUGCACAGUAAUGUAAUGUAUACUAUCCAUGUUAUGCACUAGUAUGUAAACUGGAAAAAGGAGAAUGGUUUAGAUGUUGCCAUUUUGGUUGUUGAAUGUAGAUAAUGUCCUGAACUAGCAAUACUUUCGCCUACCUACUAUAGCUGGACUGCUGUAAUAUCUGUCUUGCACUAUUUUAAUGUUUGUAUGACCUCUACUGCCUGUCUCGACACUAUACUGUGCAAAUUGCUGGUCUAAAUACUGUAUUUUUAAUAACCAAAAUGAUUUUUUUUAUUUAUUUGUAUGUUUGUCCUUUUUCUUUUCAGUUUUACUUUUGAUAUUAAAAGAAACUUCUCCCA